AUGAACGCUGGCGGCGUGCCUAAUACAUGCAAGUCGAGCGAACGGACGAGAAGCUUGCUUCUCUGAUGUUAGCGGCGGACGGGUGAGUAACACGUGGAUAACCUACCUAUAAGACUGGGAUAACUUCGGGAAACCGGAGCUAGUACCGGAUAAUAUUUUGAACCGCAUGGUUCAAAAGUGAAAGACGGUCUUGCUGUCACUUAUAGAUGGAUCCGCGCUGCAUUAGCUAGUUGGUAAGGUAACGGCUUACCAAGGCAACGAUGCAUAGCCGACCUGAGAGGGUGAUCGGCCACACUGGAACUGAGACACGGUCCAGACUCCUACGGGAGGCAGCAGUAGGGAAUCUUCCGCAAUAGGCGAAAGCCUGACGGAGCAACGCCGCGUGAGUGAUGAAGGUCUUCGGAUCGUAAAACUCUGUUAUUAGGGAAGAACAUAUGUGUAAGUAACUGUGCACAUCUUGACGGUACCUAAUCAGAAAGCCACGGCUAACUACGUG
Molecule: ribosomal RNA, 496 nt
Filed under: uncultured bacterium
Lineage: Bacteria
Description: partial 16S ribosomal RNA
Rfam family: Bacterial small subunit ribosomal RNA
Source: RNAcentral